GGAUGAUUUGCGCUCCAGCCGAUCCGCCAGUAUGUUCCUAAAUUUUAAUUAAAUAGCUUGUGACAAAAUAUUUUUAAUACGAUUUAAUACUAUCGUGGGAGUCAUAAUGACAUUAAUCUGGUUCGGAUUAUUACAUAAAACGGAUUAUUCCACAAAAGAAGACAAACCGGUUUCAUUUUACACGCUAACAUAAAAAGAAAAUAUAAGG
Molecule: long non-coding RNA, 208 nt
Filed under: Mytilus galloprovincialis (Mediterranean mussel)
Lineage: Eukaryota; Metazoa; Mollusca; Bivalvia; Mytilida; Mytilidae
Source: RNAcentral